RNAcentral lists this ribosomal RNA (301 nucleotides) under uncultured bacterium. RNAcentral's name for it is "partial 16S ribosomal RNA". It matches the Rfam family "Bacterial small subunit ribosomal RNA", at positions 509 to 807 of the family's 1533-position model. The record is from RNAcentral.
CAGCAGCCGCGGUAAUACGUAGGGUGCGAGCGUUAAUCGGAAUUACUGGGCGUAAAGCGUGCGCAGGCGGUUUUGUAAGACAGGCGUGAAAUCCCCGGGCUCAACCUGGGAAUGGCGCUUGUGACUGCAAAGCUAGAGUGCGGCAGAGGGGGAUGGAAUUCCGCGUGUAGCAGUGAAAUGCGUAGAUAUGCGGAGGAACGCCGAUAGCGAAGGCAAUCCCCUGGGCCUGCACUGACGCUCAUGCACGAAAGCGUGGGGAGCAAACAGGAUUAGAUACCCCCGUAGUCCCUGUCUCUUAUAC